CAAUAUAAUACUACUAGCUACUUUUAUAUCAACAAAAAAAUGGAGGGGAAAACUACUUUAGUGGUUUUAAUGGUUAGUAUUACUUUAGUAAUAGGAUGCAUGGGAGAUGAUGAAGUUAAAAAAUAUGGUGUUUGUGUCUUUGAGUGCAUGAAAGAAAAACCUAUGGAUUGUAUUUUCGACCCUGAAGUGUGUAUUCCAACUUGUGCUGCAAAAUGUGCAAUCCAUCUUCAACAUAAUUUUCAUCCCACAAUAGCUCCUAAAAAUUAUGCUUGUAACAUUGCAUGCACUUUCACCCAAUGCCAAAACUACAUGAUGCUAAACGAUGGAAAGAAGCUUGGAGAGUGCAUAGCUAGUUGCAGUGACAACUACUGUGCCAAUAAGGCAGCACUCAUUUGAAGAAGUAUGUAACAUAGCUUGUUAAUAAUAAAUGUUCAUGCAAUUGAACUCUUAAGUGGUCAGUGUGUGGUGUAAUCUUGUGUUAUGUAAUAACAGAGUAACAAUAAUAAUAAUAAUAAUAAAUGUUCAUGCAAGAACUAGUCUGAACUUUUAGUGGCCAAUGUGAUCUUAUGUACUUGUAUAACUAUAUUUGGGUCUAUUAGAGACAGUCUGUUUAUCUAAGCUCUGAAAUAAAAAUAUGGUUUAAUUUGCA
This is a long non-coding RNA of Solanum pennellii, 649 nucleotides long. RefSeq lists it as uncharacterized. The transcript is spliced from 2 exons. Lineage: Eukaryota; Viridiplantae; Streptophyta; Magnoliopsida; Solanales; Solanaceae. The record is from RefSeq and is a predicted model, not a curated record.